This 439-nucleotide ribosomal RNA is filed under the name uncultured Escherichia sp. Its description in RNAcentral is "bacterial SSU rRNA". It matches the Rfam family "Bacterial small subunit ribosomal RNA", at positions 30 to 463 of the family's 1533-position model. Lineage: Bacteria; Pseudomonadati; Pseudomonadota; Gammaproteobacteria; Enterobacterales; Enterobacteriaceae. The record is from RNAcentral.
AUUGAACGCUGGCGGCAGGCCUAACACAUGCAAGUCGAACGGUAACAGGAAACAGCUUGCUGUUUCGCUGACGAGUGGCGGACGGGUGAGUAAUGUCUGGGAAACUGCCUGAUGGAGGGGGAUAACUACUGGAAACGGUAGCUAAUACCGCAUAACGUCGCAAGACCAAAGAGGGGGACCUUCGGGCCUCUUGCCAUCGGAUGUGCCCAGAUGGGAUUAGCUAGUAGGUGGGGUAACGGCUCACCUAGGCGACGAUCCCUAGCUGGUCUGAGAGGAUGACCAGCCACACUGGAACUGAGACACGGUCCAGACUCCUACGGGAGGCAGCAGUGGGGAAUAUUGCACAAUGGGCGCAAGCCUGAUGCAGCCAUGCCGCGUGUAUGAAGAAGGCCUUCGGGUUGUAAAGUACUUUCAGCGGGGAGGAAGGGAGUAAAGUUAA